Molecule: ribosomal RNA, 117 nt
Filed under: Danio rerio (zebrafish)
Lineage: Eukaryota; Metazoa; Chordata; Actinopteri; Cypriniformes; Danionidae
Source: RNAcentral
CUUUACAGCCAUGUCACCCUGCAGCCCAAGACUGGUUACUCACUGAAGUUAAGCAGGGCUGAGCCUGGUCAGUACCUGAAUGGGAAACCACAUAGGAAAACUAGGUUGCUGCUGGAA